GAUGAGAAGAAGCGGACGUCGGCGCCUAGCAACGAUCUUGGAGAGCCGGAUCGCGCAGAGGGACAAAUUUCCUCAUGAGGUGGGGGCGGGGCUGUGAGCGGCUACGCCACUGUUGCCAGGGCCUAAGACAUCAGGUACGACGUGUAGGACACUGGAGAAUUUGGAGCAUGCGCAAAGGUUCAAACCCAUCCAGAAGAAGACCCCCAGUGGAGACUGAUCCGGAAGGGAGAAGGGCAGCCUGCCAGGUACCUAGCCAGACCUAAAGCAUGACGCCAUUAGUACGCCGCGGCCAGCGAACAUUAAGCCCUCUAGUGACCCGGGGCUCCCGGAUCUGGCAAGCUGGGAUCCUGCCACUGUCUCCGCAGGAGCAGAGUGGGGCUUGAUGAAUAAAUGACCCCGAACACCCACAACCGCUCUGACUGGUUUCAUCUGAGACCACGCAGUGAGUGGUGAGGGAUAAAUAAAAUCCUGAUGACAGUGGUUUUUAAUUGAGGCCCUGUACAUAUGUAAAUGAUGAUUGUUGUAAAUCCUAUAAUAGAGAUCAGAGUGACCAACUAGAAGACUUAGAGCAAAC
Molecule: long non-coding RNA, 574 nt
Filed under: Marmota monax (woodchuck)
Lineage: Eukaryota; Metazoa; Chordata; Mammalia; Rodentia; Sciuridae
Source: RNAcentral